This is an RNA transcript of Ipomoea nil (Japanese morning glory), 2627 nucleotides long. It is a transcript of the gene named ASC1-like protein, with no coding region annotated. Lineage: Eukaryota; Viridiplantae; Streptophyta; Magnoliopsida; Solanales; Convolvulaceae. The transcript is spliced from 10 exons. The record is from RefSeq and is a predicted model, not a curated record.
AGAAAUCAAGAAGCUUCUUCGUUUCACCAUUUCUGUCUCUCUACACUCAGCCACAAAGAACAAUCUCCUACUUCUUUCUACAUUGCUACCUAGUCCGAGAGCUUAAUCUGUCGAUUUUGUGUAAAUCGAUUGAUCCUUUCAAAAAUCCUUGAUUUUUGAAUAGAUCUGGUCAAUCGACUAACAUACGACGCCGUUUAUCCGAUUUCACUUUGGUCGGAAGCAUAGAUAGAACUCAUAGAAGUACAAAACUGAGCUUCCGUUCGAAACGGUUCUCCUCUUCGUCGGUCGCCGUCGCCGUCGCUCUCCGUUUCCCCGAUUUCAACUGCAGAUUGUAUUGCACAUGAUAAGGAUGUGGUAUAUAUAAGAAGCGGGAUUGGUAUGUUUGUGAACGAGGAAGUUGAUAGGCAAAGGGCAUAAAUGGAAUUUUACAAGGCGGUCCAAUCAGGCCCCACAACGCCACCACCAAAGUAAAGGAACUUUUUACUGCCUCCAUUCACAAUCUGAUCCAAUCUACUCUUCCAGUCUUCUGUCUUCGCUUGCUUAAUUCGAGCUCUUCAAUGAAGUGUCCCAGCCAAUGUUUCUGAUUCGUCGCCACGUCCCCAUAUCCAUACUUCAAUAAACAAUUUUCCCUUCUUUCUUCUCCUUUUCAUCUUUAACCUGUUUGGGAAUUUUUUCGGGCAUGGAGGUAUUGGAAAAGCUGGGUAUGAUAGAUUGGGAGCAGGAAUCAUACCCAAGAUACCAGGAUUUCGCGGUUCUUCCCUUGUUCGCGCUGUUCUUCCCCACUGUCAGAUUCUUGCUCGAUAGAUUCGUGUUUGAGAAUGUAGCUAGGUGGUUGAUGUUUCCAAAGGGACAGCGGGUGCUGGAAAAUGAGACAGAUGAAAGGAGGAAAAAAGUGAGGAAAUUCAAGGAAUCAGCAUGGAAGUGUGUGUAUUUUCUUUCAGCUGAGAUCUUUUCACUUGUGGUGACUUACAAUGAGCCAUGGUUCAAGAAAACAAAGUACUUCUGGGUAGGUCCUGGGGAUCAGGUCUGGCCCGACCAAAAAUACAAGUCAAAAUUGAAGGCACUUUAUAUGUAUGCUGGUGGAUUCUACACAUAUUCCAUAUUUGCUCUUAUCUUUUGGGAAACAAGGCGGGCUGACUUCGGUGUCUCGAUGAGCCAUCAUGUUGCAACUGCUAUUCUCAUUGUUCUGUCCUAUAUAUUCAGGUUUGCACGUGUUGGGUCAAUUGUUUUAGCUCUCCAUGAUGCAAGUGACAUAUUUUUGGAAAUAGGGAAGAUGUCCAAAUAUAGUGGCGCUGAAAGUCUUGCUAGCUUUGCGUUUGUUCUGUUUGUUUUAUCUUGGAUUGUGCUUCGUCUUACGUACUUUCCUUUCUGGAUUCUAUGGAGUACAAGCUAUGAAGUUCUCUUGACGUUGGAUAAGGAGAAACACCGAAUCGACGGACCGCUUUGUUACUACAUCUUCAACACACUUCUAUUUGGCUUGCUUGUUCUUCAUGUGUAUUGGUGGGUGUUGAUGUACAGGAUGCUUGUUAAACAAAUCCAAGCACGAGGCAAAGUUAGUGAAGAUGUUCGAUCUGAUUCCGAGGCCGAGGAUGAGAAUGAGCAUGAAGAUUGACCAAGCCCGAACAUUUUUACUUUUCGUCUUCCACAUAAAGGUUGAAUCAACCGCUUCUUGUUCUUCGUUUGCAGUGAGAAGACGAGACAUGAUGGUUACUUGGAGCAAGAUGUUCUGAUAUGACAGCUUUGGCUUUUGUGUAUUGUGAAAUGUUGUUAGAUCAGUAGGGGAUUGAAAACAUUGCAACUCAAAAAGGAAAAAUUGAUCUGUUAUUAGAAACCGAUUUUAUCAACCAUUAUUGUAGUUCUUCUGCUGGCUCUGGGACUUCACCAUUCAUUCUUUUUUGCUUUCCGCUUGAGACAUUGUACUUGUUGCCAGGACUCUCAUGGCUUGCCCAGAAAGCAAUGGUGGAAUAGGGCCUCUUAGAAGAUGGAAGACAUCUUGACAGAUAUUCCUCCACCCUCAAGGUUGUUCUUGGAAGAUGUCUUUGCCCCGCGAUUGAAGCAUCCUCUUCCGUCUCCAUUCCUGUUGUUUUCUACACCUAACGCUGAGAAAUAUUCUCACCCCUCUCUCCUUAUAAUUGCAAUGUCUUUUUACUUUUUUCACCAUUUGUCUUCCAAAAUCUUUGUUGGAACACUUAUCCUACCUGAGAUUGAUGUUUGUAGUCUCAGUCCAAUAUCCGAUCACUGCAGAGAGAUCUGAUGCAGUGGCAAAGCUUUAGGGGUAAGCUUCCAGCCGAUGAAACACUUGCGUUCAAGCUGGAGACAUCAUUAGAGAGAGAAGGGUGGUCGAAAAUUUCAUAAUUUUCAGCGGUGGCCAUGAUGAUUCUCGGUUGGUUAGACUAUUUCCCAUCAGGAAGUGUAGUGGAUGGCUUGGCUGCCGCACUAUUGGGCAGUGUGUGUUUCAUGGCCUCAACCUUCUGUGAAAUCUUCGCUGCUCAAGGAUGUCUUACCGGGAAUGGAUCAUAUGACUUUGCUUGGACUUGGCGUAGUAAAGAUUAUCUUCUUGAUUCUGAUCCGUACACCUGAUAUUUAGAUUUUAACAAGAACUGUCUUAAUUAUUUCAACAUUCUAUA